This is a non-coding RNA of Otolemur garnettii (small-eared galago), 301 nucleotides long. The record is from Rfam. NCBI's taxonomy places the organism in Eukaryota, Metazoa, Chordata, Mammalia, Primates, Galagidae.
GCUGGGUGUGAUGGCGUGUGCCUGUAGUCCCAGCUACUCAGGAGGCUGAGACAGAAGGAUCACUUGAGUCCAGGAGGUCUGGGCUGUAGUGCACUAUGCCGAUCGGGUGUCCGCACUAAGUUUGGCAUCAAUAUGGUGACCUCCCGGGAGCAGGGAGGCCACCAGGUUGCCUAAAGAGGAGUGAACUGGCCCAGGUCAGAAACGGAGCAGGUUAAAUCUCCCGUGCUGAUCAGUAGUGGGAUCAUGCCUGUGAAUAGCCACUACGCUUCAGCCUGGGCAACAUAGUGAGACCCCCAUCUCU